This 245-nucleotide ribosomal RNA is filed under the name uncultured bacterium. RNAcentral describes it as "partial 16S ribosomal RNA". It matches the Rfam family "Bacterial small subunit ribosomal RNA", at positions 333 to 577 of the family's 1533-position model. The record is from RNAcentral.
UUUUGCCUACGGGGGGCAGCAGUGGGGAAUAUUGCACAAUGGGCGCAAGCCUGAUGCAGCGACGCCGCGUGCGGGAUGGAGGCCUUCGUGUUGUAAACCGCUUUUGUUCAAGGGCAAGGCCCGGUCUUUGGCCGUGUUGAGUGGAUUGUUCGAAUAAGCACCGGCUAACUACGUGCCAGCAGCCGCGGUAAUACGUAGGGUGCAAGCAUUAUCCGGAUUUAUUGGUCGUAAAGUGCUCGUAGGCG